CCUACGGGAGGCAGCAGUGAGGAAUAUUGGUCAAUGGACGAAAGUCUGAACCAGCCAUGCAGCGUGCAGGAAGACGGCCCUAUGAGUUGUAAACUGCUUUUGUACAAGGGUAAACCUGAACACGUGUAUUCAGCUGAAAGUACUUUACGAAUAAGGAUCGGCUAACUCCGUGCCAGCAGCCGCGGUAAUACGGAGGAUCCGAGCGUUAUCCGGAUUUAUUGGGUUUAAAGGGUGCGUAGGCGGAUUGAUAAGUUAGUGGUGAAAGUUUGGGGCUUAACCGGGGAAUUGCAAUUAAUACUGGUGAUCUAGAGAGUAGAUGCGGUAGGCGGAAUGCAUGGUGUAGCGGUGAAAUGCUUAGAGAUCACACAGAACCCCGAUUGCGAAGGCAGCUUACCAAUCUAUAUCUGACAUUGAGGCACGAAAGCGUGGGGAGCAAACAGGAUUAGAUACCCGAGUAGUC
RNAcentral lists this ribosomal RNA (460 nucleotides) under uncultured bacterium. RNAcentral describes it as "partial 16S ribosomal RNA". It matches the Rfam family "Bacterial small subunit ribosomal RNA", at positions 338 to 795 of the family's 1533-position model. The record is from RNAcentral.